AGUGAACGCUGGCGGCGUGCUUAACACAUGCAAGUCGAACGAGAACGGUAUAUAGCUUACUAUAUUUGUCAGCUAAGUGGCGCACGGGUGAGUAAUGUAUAGAUAACCUGCCCUUAAGAAAGGAAUAACAGUUGGAAACGACUGCUAAUGCCCUAUAUGCCUUUAAUACAUAAGUAUGCAAGGGAAACGCUUUAGUGCUUAAGGAUGGGUCUGUAUGGUAUCAGCUUGUUGGUGAGGUAAUGGCUCACCAAGGCUAUGACGCCUAACUGGUUUGAGAGGAUGAUCAGUCACACUGGAACUGAGACACGGUCCAGACUCCUACGGGAGGCAGCAGUGGGGAAUAUUGCACAAUGGACGAAAGUCUGAUGCAGCAACGCCGCGUGGAGGAUGACACAUUUCGGUGCGUAAACUCCUUUUAUAUAGGAAGAUAAUGACGGUACUAUAUGAAUAAGCACCGGCUAACUCCGUGCCAGCAGCCGCCGUAA
Molecule: ribosomal RNA, 485 nt
Filed under: uncultured bacterium
Lineage: Bacteria
Description: partial 16S ribosomal RNA
Rfam family: Bacterial small subunit ribosomal RNA
Source: RNAcentral